Molecule: ribosomal RNA, 253 nt
Filed under: uncultured bacterium
Lineage: Bacteria
Description: partial 16S ribosomal RNA
Rfam family: Bacterial small subunit ribosomal RNA
Source: RNAcentral
UACAGAGGGUGCUAGCGUUAAUCGGAAUUACUGGGCGUAAAGCGUGUGUAGGUGGUUAGAUAAGUUAGAUGUGAAAUCCCUCGGCUUAACCGGGGAACUGCGUCCGAUACUGGUUGGCUUGAGUUUGGGAGAGGGAUGCGGAAUUCCAGGUGUAGCGGUGAAAUGCGUAGAUAUCUGGAGGAACACCGGUGGCGAAGGCGGCAUCCUGGACCAAUACUGACGCUGAGGAGCGAAAGCCAGGGGAGCAAACGGG